This is an RNA transcript of Eriocheir sinensis (Chinese mitten crab), 1326 nucleotides long. RefSeq lists it as uncharacterized. Lineage: Eukaryota; Metazoa; Arthropoda; Malacostraca; Decapoda; Varunidae. The record is from RefSeq and is a predicted model, not a curated record. The transcript has 2 exons.
CCGCUUCGAGACGCUGUAGUGUGUGGUACAUGUCCCCAAUCACCACAGUCAAAACUGCCGUCAUCUCUGCCACCUCCACUGGAAUGGGCGGGCAUGUAGUGGCUUCUGGGGUGGUUUGGGGUGUAGUGGGUAGUGGCGUGGGCGGGGGUGUAGUGGGCGGGGGUGUAGUGGACGUGGGUGUAGUGGCUGGUGUGAUGAUUGGGAGCGCCGUGCAAGUGGGUACUGGAUCGGGCAAUGAUCGGUUGAAUUGUGUAUCGAGGCAGCCACGUGGUGGUUUGUCGUCUCUCCCUCUAGAGGUGCCGUAACCCACCAUUUCCACACUCUGUAGGUUGUCAGUGGUGACCCAAGAGUGACAUAUCAUCCAACUAUCACCAAACUGUACAUCGAACUCCACAUGGUCUCUGUUGUGAUACACAGAUACCACCAAGUACCACCAGGCGGCUCUGGUGACGUUGGGGAACAUGUCCUCGGGGAACCACGCGCCAAUGCUCACCGGUCCUGUGGCGGUGUUCGCGAGAGCCUGCACACUCACGCCGCUGAAGCCUUCCUCGAGCCACAGAUGCUGGGCGAGAGGAAGGAUGCCGACUGCUACUUCUACUGCUCUAAGGUAACCUGCUACUACUACUACUACUACUGCUACUACUACUACUACUACUACUACUACUACUACUACUACUACUACUACUUCUACUUCUACUACUACUACUACCACUAUUUGGCUUUCUACUUCCACCACAACCAUCCCUCUAGCCUUCCCCAGUCAACCACAAUCCAUGAAAAUUCACCGACUUUUUCACCAGAACCUCGGAAAAAAAUGAGUUUCUGUAAGUCCAGUCGUUAAUUUUUUUUCUUUUUUUUCAUACUUUCCGUUCAACCAACAUCACCACCAUUGCCACCAUAAAAACUACCACCAUUUGGCUUUCUAUUGUCACCACAACCAUCCCUCUAGCCUUCCUCAGUCAACCACAAUCCAUGAAAAUUCACCGACUUUUCCACCAAAACCUGGGAAAAAAAAAAUUAGUUUCUGUAAGUCCAGUCUUUAACAUUUUUUUUUUUUUCAUACCUCCUUUACAACCAACAUCACCACCAUUGCCACCCUAAAAACUACCACCAUUUGGCUUUCUACUGCCACCACAACCAUCUCUCUAGCCCACCACAGUCAACCACAAUCCGUGAAAAUCUUACGACUUUUCCGCCAAAUUUUCCAGGGUGACGUCUGCCCUUUCCACCAUGAGCCCGCGGCGGCCCUUCGCAACGAGACAGUCUGGCAUUACUGGAAGGCGGGCAAGUGCGCCAAGGACAAGUGCAUUUUCCGACACAUAAAGG